RNAcentral lists this long non-coding RNA (222 nucleotides) under Mytilus galloprovincialis (Mediterranean mussel). Lineage: Eukaryota; Metazoa; Mollusca; Bivalvia; Mytilida; Mytilidae. The record is from RNAcentral.
GUUUCCGUUAAAUAUUGCCAUUUUUAGAUAUAUCGGUCCCCCUUUUCUCGGCUACUGUCAAAGCGAGACGUUUUUUUUUUUAUUAUGAUAGCUAGCGAGGCAUGAAGUUCAUAUGAUUCAAUCCAAAUUAUCCUCAAAGUGCGGUAAAAAUCUUGAAUUGAUGCAAUUUUGUUCGCCUUGAAAUCGACGGAACAUAUUUAGUCAAAAUUCUUUUUAAAAAAA